Molecule: ribosomal RNA, 497 nt
Filed under: uncultured bacterium
Lineage: Bacteria
Description: partial 16S ribosomal RNA
Rfam family: Bacterial small subunit ribosomal RNA
Source: RNAcentral
GAUGAACGCUGGCGGCGUGCCUAAUACAUGCAAGUAGAACGCUGAAGGAAGGAGCUUGCUCUUUCCGGAUGAGUUGCGAACGGGUGAGUAACGCGUAGGUAACCUGCCCGGUAGCGGGGGAUAACUAUUGGAAACGAUAGCUAAUACCGCAUAACAGUAGAUGUUGCAUGAUAUCUACUUAAAAGGUGCAAUUGCACCACUACCAGAUGGACCUGCGUUGUAUUAGCUAGUUGGUGAGGUAACGGCUCACCAAGGCGACGAUACAUAGCCGACCUAAGAGGGUGAUCGGCCACACUGGGACUGAGACACGGCCCAGACUCCUACGGGAGGCAGCAGUAGGGAAUCUUCGGCAAUGGACGGAAGUCUGACCGAGCAACGCCGCGUGAGUGAAGAAGGUUUUCGGAUCGUAAAGCUCUGUUGUAAGAGAAGAACGAGUGUGAGAGUGGAAAGUUCACACUGUGACGGUAUCUUACCAGAAAGGGACGGCUAACUACGUG